AUUGAACGCUGGCGGCAUGCCUUACACAUGCAAGUCGAACGGUAACGGGCCUUCGGGUGCCGACGAGUGGCGAACGGGUGAGUAAUGCAUCGGAACGUACCUUUCAGUGGGGGAUAACGUAGCGAAAGUUACGCUAAUACCGCAUAUUCUGUGAGCAGGAAAGCAGGGGAUCGCAAGACCUUGCGCUGAUUGAGCGGCCGAUGUCAGAUUAGCUAGUUGGUGAGGUAUAGGCUCACCAAGGCGACGAUCUGUAGCGGGUCUGAGAGGAUGAUCCGCCACACUGGAACUGAGACACGGUCCAGACUCCUACGGGAGGCAGCAGUGGGGAAUUUUGGACAAUGGGGGCAACCCUGAUCCAGCCAUGCCGCGUGAGUGAAGAA
This 380-nucleotide ribosomal RNA is filed under the name uncultured bacterium. RNAcentral describes it as "bacterial SSU rRNA". It matches the Rfam family "Bacterial small subunit ribosomal RNA", at positions 30 to 412 of the family's 1533-position model. The record is from RNAcentral.